GGGGAUAUAGCUCAGCAGUAUAAGCAACAGCCUAGCAAGCGCAAGGUCCUGAGUUCAAUUCUCAGUAACCCCC
RNAcentral lists this transfer RNA (73 nucleotides) under Cavia porcellus (domestic guinea pig). It matches the Rfam family "tRNA". From Rfam's summary of the family: Transfer RNA (tRNA) molecules are approximately 80 nucleotides in length. Their secondary structure includes four short double-helical elements and three loops (D, anti-codon, and T loops). Lineage: Eukaryota; Metazoa; Chordata; Mammalia; Rodentia; Caviidae. The record is from Rfam by way of RNAcentral.